Molecule: ribosomal RNA, 552 nt
Filed under: uncultured bacterium
Lineage: Bacteria
Description: partial 16S ribosomal RNA
Rfam family: Bacterial small subunit ribosomal RNA
Source: RNAcentral
UAGGGAAUCUUCCACAAUGGACGCAAGUCUGAUGGAGCAACGCCGCGUGAGUGAAGAAGGCUUUCGGGUCGUAAAACUCUGUUAUUGAAGAAGAACGUGUGUGACAGUAACUGGUCAUGCAGUGACGGUAUUCAAUCAGAAAGUCACGGCUAACUACGUGCCAGCAGCCGCGGUAAUACGUAGGUGGCAAGCGUUGUCCGGAUUUAUUGGGCGUAAAGCGAGUGCAGGCGGUCUUUUAAGUCUGAUGUGAAAGCCUUCGGCUUAACCGAAGAAGGGCAUCGGAAACUGGGAGACUUGAGUGCAGAAGAGGAGAGUGGAACUCCAUGUGUAGCGGUGAAAUGCGUAGAUAUAUGGAAGAACACCAGUGGCGAAGGCGGCUCUCUGGUCUGUAACUGACGCUGAGGCUCGAAAGCGUGGGUAGCAAACAGGAUUAGAUACCCUGGUAGUCCACGCCGUAAACGGUGAAUACUAAGUGUUGGAGGGUUUCCGCCCUUCAGUGCUGCAGCUAACGCAUUAAGUAUUCCGCCUGGGGAGUACGACCGCAAGGUUGAA